AACGGGUGAGUAAUGCACCGGAACGUACCCAGUAAUGGGGGAUAACACAUCGAAAGAUGUGCUAAUACCGCAUACGCCCUGAGGGGGAAAGCGGGGGAUCGUAAGACCUCGCGUUAUUGGAGCGGCCGAUGCCGGAUUAGCUAGUUGGUGGGGUAAAGGCUCACCAAGGCGACGAUCCGUAGCUGGUCUGAGAGGACGACCAGCCACACUGGGACUGAGACACGGCCCAGACUCCUACGGGAGGCAGCAGUGGGGAAUUUUGGACAAUGGGCGAAAGCCUGAUCCAGCCAUGCCGCGUGAGUGAAGAAGGCCUUCGGGUUGUAAAGCUCUUUCGCAAGGAAAGAAAACUUACCUACUAAUACUAGGUGAGGUUGACGGUACCUUGAUAAGAAGCACCGGCUAACUACGUGCCAGCAGCCACGGUAAUACGCAGGGUGCGAGCGUUAAUCGGAAUUACUGGGCGUAAAGCGUGCGCAGGCGGUUUUGUAAGUCAGAUGUGAAAUCCCCGGGCUCAACCUGGGAACUGCGUUUGAAACUACAAGGCUAGAGUGUAGAAGAGGGGGGUAGAAUUCCACGUGUAGCAGUGAAAUGCGUAGAGAUGUGGAGGAAUACCGAUGGCGGAGGCAGCCCCCUGGGCUAACACUGACGCUCAUGCACGAAAGCGUGGGGAGCA
RNAcentral lists this ribosomal RNA (673 nucleotides) under uncultured bacterium. Its description in RNAcentral is "bacterial SSU rRNA". It matches the Rfam family "Bacterial small subunit ribosomal RNA", at positions 101 to 770 of the family's 1533-position model. The record is from RNAcentral.